UCUCAUAUAGCGUAUAUUAAAGUUGUUGCAGUUAAAAAGCUCGUAUGUUGAACCUUGGGCCUGGCUGGCCGGUCCGCCUCACCGCGAGUACUGGUCCGGCUGGGCCUUUCCUUCUGGGGAACCUCAUGGCCUUCACUGGCUGUGGGGGGAACCAGGACUUUUACUGUGAAAAAAUUAGAGUGUUCAAAGCAGGCCUUUGCUCGAAUACAUUAGCAUGGAAUAAUAGAAUAGGACGUGCGGUUCUAUUUUGUUGGUUUCUAGGACCGCCGUAAUGAUUAAUAGGGAUAGUCGGGGGCGUCAGUAUUCAGCUGUCAGAGGUGAAAUUCUUGGAUUUGCUGAAGACUAACUACUGCGAAAGCAUUCGCCAAGGAUGUUUUCAUUAAUCAGGGAACGAAAGUUAGGGGAUCGAAGACGAUCAGAUACCGUCGUAGUCUUAACCAUAAACUAUGCCGACUAGGGAUCGGACGGGAUUCUAUGAUGACCCGUUCGGCACCUUACGAGAAAUCAAAGUUUUUGGGUUCUGGGGGGAGUAUGGUCGCAAGGC
This 544-nucleotide ribosomal RNA is filed under the name Penicillium sp. NASAf1h-4-l-c1. RNAcentral's name for it is "SSU rRNA". It matches the Rfam family "Eukaryotic small subunit ribosomal RNA", at positions 588 to 1137 of the family's 1831-position model. The record is from RNAcentral. Lineage: Eukaryota; Fungi; Ascomycota; Eurotiomycetes; Eurotiales; Aspergillaceae.